UACAGAGGGUGCGAGCGUUAAUCGGAAUUACUGGGCGUAAAGCGUGCGUAGACGGCUAUCUAAGUCGGGUGUGAAAUCCCCGGGCUCAACCUGGGAACUGCAUCCGAAACUGCCUUGCUAGAGUAUGGGAGAGGGAAGUGGAAUUUCCGGUGUAGCGGUGAAAUGCGUAGAUAUCGGAAGGAACAUCAGUGGCGAAGGCGACUUCCUGGACCAAUACUGACGCUCAGGUGCGAAAGCGUGGGGAGCAAACAGG
Molecule: ribosomal RNA, 253 nt
Filed under: uncultured bacterium
Lineage: Bacteria
Description: partial 16S ribosomal RNA
Rfam family: Bacterial small subunit ribosomal RNA
Source: RNAcentral